This 431-nucleotide ribosomal RNA is filed under the name uncultured bacterium. RNAcentral describes it as "bacterial SSU rRNA". It matches the Rfam family "Bacterial small subunit ribosomal RNA", at positions 1002 to 1437 of the family's 1533-position model. The record is from RNAcentral.
AGAGAUUUGGGAGUGCUCGAAAAAGAGCCAGAACACAGGUGCUGCAUGGCCGUCGUCAGCUCGUGUCGUGAGAUGUUGGGUUAAGUCCCGCAACGAGCGCAACCCUUGUCAUUAGUUGCUACGAAAGGGCACUCUAAUGAGACUGCCGGUGACAAACCGGAGGAAGGUGGGGAUGACGUCAGGUCAUCAUGGCCCUUAUGGGUAGGGCUACACACGUCAUACAAUGGCCGGGACAGAGGGCUGCCAACCCGCGAGGGGGAGCUAAAAANAGAAACCCGGUCGUAGUCCGGAUCGUAGUCUGCAACUCGACUGCGUGAAGUCGGAAUCGCUAGUAAUCGCGGAUCAGCUUGCCGCGGUGAAUACGUUCCCGGGUCUUGUACACACCGCCCGUCACACCAUGGGAGCGGGUUCUGCCAGAAGUAGUUAGCCUA